This 76-nucleotide transfer RNA is filed under the name Methyloceanibacter sp. RNAcentral's name for it is "tRNA-Ala". It matches the Rfam family "tRNA". From Rfam's summary of the family: Transfer RNA (tRNA) molecules are approximately 80 nucleotides in length. The record is from RNAcentral. RNAcentral also lists the same sequence under 3 other names. Lineage: Bacteria; Pseudomonadati; Pseudomonadota; Alphaproteobacteria; Hyphomicrobiales; Hyphomicrobiaceae.
GGGGCCGUAGCUCAGUUGGGAGAGCGCAGCAAUCGCACUGCUGAGGUCAGGGGUUCGAUCCCCCUCGGCUCCACCA